Molecule: long non-coding RNA, 149 nt
Organism: Microtus oregoni (creeping vole)
Lineage: Eukaryota; Metazoa; Chordata; Mammalia; Rodentia; Cricetidae
Exons: 3
Source: RefSeq, a predicted model, not a curated record
AGCUUGAAGAUGACAUCUGCCUGAACAGUUACCACAGUUGUCCAGUCCUGCAUUCAGAAAGCAAUACAAGGUUGACUCAACUGUAAUUGGCCAUUCAGAGUUCUGUGAUGAAGGUUUUGUGGCUUAAGUGGAUAUUUUAUAUCUCUGAG